UGCUGUUUACUAUAUAUCUAAAUUCUCUCCAUAAAUUAACAUGAGAUGCUAAGACUAUCACAUGUUCACAUCCUGUUUGCAUAGUUUACAACAAAAAAAUAGUGAAGCUGUCAACAGGCACUCUGAUCAGAUAUAAAAACUUCUGCCAGGAAGCAGGCGGUAUUAUGUUUGAUGUUUGGUUUCUCCUUUACUACCACCACUGGCAGUGCCGAUAUCAUACAAAGUCGAAGCAGUUUAUUCCUCCACGUCCACACCACCUCCCUUAAGAUGCAGAUGCUUUUCCCUCUUUUGAAAAUCCGUUAAACCCUUCCCACUUCCAGUGACGCCAACCUUCCCUGUCGGAUCCUCUGGGGACUUGAAUAUGCUCUCCCGCUUGCGACCUGAAAA
This 387-nucleotide unclassified non-coding RNA is filed under the name Hevea brasiliensis (rubber tree). Lineage: Eukaryota; Viridiplantae; Streptophyta; Magnoliopsida; Malpighiales; Euphorbiaceae. The record is from RNAcentral.